CUCUGCUUAUGCGACACCCGCCUUUCUUUUUUUUGUUGUUGUUGUUACGAAGUUUCCUUAAGAUUUUACAAGUGAAGUACUGAGCUGUGCGAUGUGAACCACCCUUCCCCAUUUUCGUUUGGACACCUUCAGUAAGAAAGGAAUUUCUCACUUUAAAAAGAAGCAAGAAGGAAGUCAGAUUGGAUCAACUCCCUCUUGUAUAGAGAACCACACUUCUUGGGCUUGUGGUGUUGUGACAUUUCUUCAAAGAUGGACUAAAUCUCUGCCAUCUCUCCCACCUCCUCAUGGAAGGCCACCCCUGGCACAGAUGGGCACUUAGGAGCCUGCAUUCAUUUUUAUAGACCCCACUCUCCCCAAGCUGAGAGUGGCCUAAAGUGAACACCCCUAGGAAAGGAGGAAGAGCUGGUAUCCAAAGAUUAUUGUUCAUGGCCCUCUACCAGCGACAGCUUGUCCUCCUGAGCCAUCUUGCCUAGCAUUUGAAUGAUUUAGCUUUUAAAGUAUCAUUACAAAGCUUUGUAAUUUACAGUUUUUUUUUAGCUGUAUUACUACC
RNAcentral lists this long non-coding RNA (550 nucleotides) under Homo sapiens (human). RNAcentral's name for it is "HSALNT0126880". The record is from RNAcentral. Lineage: Eukaryota; Metazoa; Chordata; Mammalia; Primates; Hominidae.